GAGUUUGAUCCCUGGCUCAGAUUGAACGCUGGCGGCAGGCCUAACACAUGCAAGUCGAGCGGCAGCGGGAAAGUAGCUUGCUACUUUUGCCGGCGAGCGGCGGACGGGUGAGUAAUGCCUGGGGAUCUGCCCAGUCGAGGGGGAUAACAGUUGGAAACGACUGCUAAUACCGCAUACGCCCUACGGGGGAAAGGAGGGGACCUUCGGGCCUUUCGCGAUUGGAUGAACCCAGGUGGGAUUAGCUAGUUGGUGGGGUAAUGGCUCACCAAGGCGACGAUCCCUAGCUGGUCUGAGAGGAUGAUCAGCCACACUGGAACUGAGACACGGUCCAGACUCCUACGGGAGGCAGCAGUGGGGAAUAUUGCACAAUGGGGGAAACCCUGAUGCAGCCAUGCCGCGUGUGUGAAGAAGGCCUUCGGGUUGUAAAGCACUUUCAGCGAGGAGGAAAGGUUGGCGCCUAAUACGUGUCAACUGUGACGUACUCGCAGAAGAAGCACCGGCA
This 502-nucleotide ribosomal RNA is filed under the name Aeromonas salmonicida. RNAcentral's name for it is "bacterial SSU rRNA". It matches the Rfam family "Bacterial small subunit ribosomal RNA", at positions 9 to 498 of the family's 1533-position model. The record is from RNAcentral. Lineage: Bacteria; Pseudomonadati; Pseudomonadota; Gammaproteobacteria; Aeromonadales; Aeromonadaceae.